UGCCUACGGGAGGCAGCAGUGAGGAAUAUUGGUCAAUGGGAGAGAUCCUGAACCAGCCAAGCCGCGUGAGGGAAGACGGCCCUAUGGGUUGUAAACCUCUUUUGUCGGAGAACAAAACCCGGGACGUGUCCCGGACUGCGUGUAUCCGAAGAAAAAGCAUCGGCUAACUCCGUGCCAGCAGCCGCGGUAAUACGUAGGGGGCGAGCGUUAUCCGGAAUUACUGGGUGUAAAGGGAGCGUAGACGGCGAGGUAAGCCUGAAGUGGAAGCCCGCGGCCCAACCGCGGAACUG
This 290-nucleotide ribosomal RNA is filed under the name uncultured bacterium. RNAcentral's name for it is "partial 16S ribosomal RNA". It matches the Rfam family "Bacterial small subunit ribosomal RNA", at positions 335 to 623 of the family's 1533-position model. The record is from RNAcentral.